AGAACGAAAAUGAGUUUCGUUCUAACUCUAACCCUUCCCAGCUCUGAUUUAAAAAUUUAAAGAACCAAUAAAAGUAAAAUCCACCGACGGCGAUUUUUGUGAGCCCAACACCAUUUCCACAGACGAGCUUUCUCGCAAGCUCUUUCUUCUCGAGAACAUCUCGAAAUUGAGCGGGCAGCAAGAAUAAGAAUCAACCUAUCCUUAAUCUGUUCCCAUGUAGUCGGCAUUCUAGAAGCGAAGCUUCCCAGCCGCCUGCCUCCUUGUGUGGAAAUGCUUUUCAUGAUCUCCAGCUCUUUCCCACCAGCUCRUUCUCCACUAGGCAUCUAGGCGAACCCGCCGGGUGAACUCAACGUAAAGAAAGUCAGUGAGUGCUUACUAAUAGGGAAAGGCUAACAUCUCUCUGUCAGAAGGCAAACAUCAGAUCAAAUAAAGAGGAAGCUUGUAGUCAGAAAAGACAGAAAACUAAGAGUUCAUAAGCUAUCUGAUCCUUUAGGACUCACAGAUAGUAGAGUAGCAAGCCCGGAUGGUUAUCCCUUUAUUUAAGACAGAUCGGUGUGUUAGCAUCUUUUUAUGUGCACUGGACCUACAUUGGUUCUUUAUUUUUUGGAGCAGAAAUAUCAUCAUGAUCUAUAUAGAGAAGCCUCUAGUCAUUGAAACCAGUUGGGAUCACUAAUUAUAUCCUCUCCUUCCUUGUUUAUGCACAGAUACAUGGAACACUGUUAUUUUGUUCAAUUAGUGUUGUACUUUAUUUAUCUGAUACCCUAAUAUAUGAAGUAGCGCAUAUACAGGAAAUGAUACAAAGAGGCUCUUUUUCCUUUAUGAAUAAUAACACUAUAAAGGGAAAAAUAUCCUGA
Nelumbo nucifera (sacred lotus) is the source of this 854-nucleotide long non-coding RNA. RefSeq lists it as uncharacterized. The record is from RefSeq and is a predicted model, not a curated record. Lineage: Eukaryota; Viridiplantae; Streptophyta; Magnoliopsida; Proteales; Nelumbonaceae.